Molecule: long non-coding RNA, 374 nt
Organism: Apis mellifera (honey bee)
Lineage: Eukaryota; Metazoa; Arthropoda; Insecta; Hymenoptera; Apidae
Exons: 2
Source: RefSeq, a predicted model, not a curated record
CACGUACUACACAUCGCGUAUAUAUAUAUAUAUAUAUAUGUGUGUGUGCGCGCGCGAGGCGUUGUGAAUAGCCGGAUAGACAAUUGACUCUUUGUCGAGUCGCACCAUCAGUCCAGCCGGCCCAACUUGAUGACACUUUACGAUCAAAAGGGAAAGGGACAAAGGGCCGAAGAUUACCGGGCAUCCGGUGCAACAGAAUCGAAAGAGUAAAUAAAGAGCAAAGUGUACGCGUGGAAGAAAAUUCGAGCGGGCCGACGAGACAAAUUUUGCCAGAAUUUAGAAGACUGAUGAUUUUUCAUUGAAGAAUAAAUCAAGAGAAAGGUCAAAAGAUGCCAUCAAGAUGAUAAAAUUUUAAUAGAGAUUAUUGAAUAUAA